This 261-nucleotide ribosomal RNA is filed under the name uncultured bacterium. RNAcentral describes it as "partial 16S ribosomal RNA". It matches the Rfam family "Bacterial small subunit ribosomal RNA", at positions 524 to 776 of the family's 1533-position model. The record is from RNAcentral.
GACGAACCGUGCGAACGUUAUUCGGAAUCACUGGGACGUUAAAGCGCGUGUAGGCGGGAGGGCACGUCCGUCCGGCUGAAACUCCCCCGGCUCAACCGGGGAACGGGCGCGGAUACGACCUUCCUUGAGGGGCGUAGGGGGACCUGGAACUUCCGGUGGAGCGGUGAAAUGCGUUGAGAUCGGAAGGAACGCCCGUGGCGAAAGCGAGGUCCUGGACGCCUACUGACGCUGAGACGGCGGAAAGCCAGGGGAGCGAACGGG